RNAcentral lists this ribosomal RNA (492 nucleotides) under uncultured bacterium. RNAcentral describes it as "partial 16S ribosomal RNA". It matches the Rfam family "Bacterial small subunit ribosomal RNA", at positions 29 to 507 of the family's 1533-position model. The record is from RNAcentral.
AGUGAACGCUGGCGGUAGGCCUAACACAUGCAAGUCGAACGGCAGCACAGUAAGAGCUUGCUCUUACGGGUGGCGAGUGGCGGACGGGUGAGGAGUACAUCGGAAUCUACUUUUUCGUGGGGGAUAACGUAGGGAAACUUACGCUAAUACCGCAUACGACCUACGGGUGAAAGCAGGGGAUCUUCGGACCUUGCGCGAUUGAAUGAGCCGAUGUCGGAUUAGCUAGUUGGCGGGGUAAAGGCCCACCAAGGCGACGAUCCGUAGCUGGUCUGAGAGGAUGAUCAGCCACACUGGAACCGAGACACGGUCCAGACUCCUACGGGAGGCAGCAGUGGGGAGUAUUGGACAAUGGGCGCAAGCCUGAUCCAGCCAUACCGCGUGGGUGAAGAAGGCCUUCGGGUUGUAAAGCCCUUUUGUUGGGAAAGAAAAGCAGCAGGUUAAUACCCCGCCGUUCUGACGGUACCCAAAGAAUAAGCACCGGCUAACUUCGUG